Molecule: non-coding RNA, 21 nt
Filed under: Caenorhabditis elegans
Lineage: Eukaryota; Metazoa; Nematoda; Chromadorea; Rhabditida; Rhabditidae
Source: RNAcentral
CAAGUUCAGAAAAAACUUAGA